Balaenoptera musculus (blue whale) is the source of this 2934-nucleotide long non-coding RNA. RefSeq lists it as uncharacterized. The record is from RefSeq and is a predicted model, not a curated record. NCBI's taxonomy places the organism in Eukaryota, Metazoa, Chordata, Mammalia, Artiodactyla, Balaenopteridae. The transcript is spliced from 3 exons.
UCCACACCUGGUUUCCUGGUCGCACCUUUGGGGAUGGGGAUCGACCAGCCUCGGCCUGGCCUGGCCCCUCGCGGGCAAGGUGGGCGCGCAAACUGGAUGCAAGGGAAAGCUAGCCUCAUCGAUUUUCCUGCAGUUGAGCCCUGGCAAAACUCUGCGCUCCUGCAUUUAAACAGCAAAGCAGGUGACAUUAGCACCGCCACUACGCCCGACUUACUUCAACACUGUCGUUCUAUACAGCCACUCAGAGUUUUCAUUGGAAUUUACAAUCUUUCAACUGCGGAGAUGUCUGAAAGGCAUCAGGAUCGGCUUUGACCAAAGACACUGACAGAAUCACAAUUUGCAGGACGUACAUAUGGUUCUUCCUAACUUGGUGCAUCUGUGGUUUCAAGUGAAAGAAAAUUACCACAAGUUUAUUAAGGUCAAUAAAAAGUAUUCUUUGAUCAACUACGAGUGAAAAUAGAUGGACAAAUAUGGCUGGACUGUCUAUUGAACACGACAAGAAGAAAAAAGACUGAUUGUGACAAAAGCCCUGUGAAAUUUGCAGAUACUAAGACUCAAAAACAGAAACUGGUCUAUAAUAUUAUUCAUUAAUGUGAAAAAUGGAUAUGUUGGUCCAUUGUCGUUGUCACCGAAUACACUUGGUCCCAUGGAGAAGCGGAGUUAAAAGAUCCAUUGGGCGUCCCCAGCGAGCACUGGAAAGGCCAGGUGUGCGGGAGGAGAGGAUGGGCUAUGGUCCAGGAGAGGAUGGGCUGUGGUCCGGGAGGGUGAGGGGCUGGACUGGGCAGUGGAGGAGGCUGCCAGCUUCCCCUACGCACUGGUGGCCACUUCCUUCAGCUGCAGAAGGCAGGACCACUUAGACUGAGCCGGGUGCACGGCCUCUACAGAUGGCCAGGGGAGGGGAGGGGGCCAGCUGGAGAGGGUGGGCUGCCAAGGAUGGGCCCGGGGUCUGGGGAAGCAAGGAGGUACGGUUGACAGCUGGCAGAACCAGGGUCAGAGGUCCCAGCUGGGCUGAAGAAUGCUGGGUCCUGGACAGGUGGGAGCCCCGUGGAAGAGGGUGGCAGUGGUGGGGCGGGGAAUGCCUGCUGUGGUGGGGUGCCGGGAGACCCCUGAGGGCCACCCCGAGCCUCUCUGACACAGAGCUGCGGACCUUGGCCAGGUGAUCACUUGCUGGGUCCGAGUGUGAGCAGAGCCAUCUUACGGUUUGCGGGUCCGAAGUGAGGCGGUGGAGCAAGGUCCCCACAGGGAGCAGGUGCGCGGUGCCUGGGCGGGAGUUCCGGCCGGAGUCAAGGGGCCAGAGCGGCAGUUCCGAAUGCGGCCGGCAGAGGGCGCGCGCGGACCCGCCGCUGCUCCCCAAUGAGGCCGAAGAGGCCGCUGCCCUCCAGGGACCCAGCUGACGGAGGACACGGGCACACAAACCGAGUCUAGUCCCACGGGGUGUGGGGGAGGGGACCCACUUAACACAGGGCCACCAGGAGAGAGACCUUCUCUAGCUGAGACCCUAGGACCUGCAGAGGGCCCAGGCUGAGCCCCUCACCCGGGGAGGGAGGGAGCUGGUCCCGGCAAGGCACUGGCUGGUGUAAAGGCCCUGGGGUCGGGUCGGCCUGGCGAUCGGAGGCCGGGGUUGGCCGGGGCAGCCCGGGCACCUGUGAUUCUGCAUGCGAGUUUGUCCCCCAGGCCUUCAGUUCUGGGUGUGGGGUGGCGUCCGUUUUCUGAGAUCGGCUGAAGGGAGGUGGGUGUUGAGUGGGGAAUGUGGGCAGGGUGGGGGAAUUUGGGGUGAUCUUUGCCUUCUUCUUGGUACUUUUCUGUGUUUUCCAGAGCUUCCAAAAUGACCUUCUGUUGCUUAAAACCAAAUGCUUUUGAAUCGGUGGUACCAUCAGGUGGUUUAAAAACUGUGGGAUGGUGUACAGUGACCACGGCCCGCUCCUUGGCCCCCAUCACGUUGAUUACUUUCUCCUGCACCCUUCCCAAGUCUACAGAGAGUACAAACGGACACGAAAACCAUUCUUUUCCACCUUUGCUUACAGAGGACGCAGCGCUAUGUGCACGCUGUCACUACCAUGCUCUCUGCACCUCAUUAGGGUCUGGGCGUGGGCGGUCCUGGUCCCAGAGCGCUGGCUGCUGCAGUGAAGCCAGCUGCGGGGCCUCACCAGCCUGUCUUUCUCCUUUCUUGGGGAGGGGCGGUGCUGGCUGUGCACUUCCAGGAGGGGGAGCAGGGGGAGCCCCUUGUGGCUGGCUCCGGGCAGGGGAAUUCUGGGCAGAGCUGGAGGCCGGCCUUUCUGGAAACUCGUCCAUCAGGUGAUUACACAGUGAGAGUGAAAACAGCUCCUUUCAGAAGCUGCAGCCCCCGGUUGACCUUCAAAUGUCUGAAAAACGAGAAAAGAAGCAGGGCCGAGCUCUCAGGACGGGAAGUGGGCCGUACUGGGAGGCUGGCUCUGCUCUGCACCGGCCUCUGCUCUGGGGACAGCACCGGGCACAGGAGGGGCAGCCCACGUCCAGGGUCCUAAGUGCGGGCCCAUGGCGGCCUUCCUGCCUCCUGGCCCUGAGUGCUGUUCUCCCAGAGGCCUGGGAGAGUAAAGGAUGGGAGGUGAGAUGUCCAAGGGGACUGGCCACGCCAGUGGGGAGCGGAGGUGCCACCAGCAUUCAGAAAUGUCCUGGGCGCAGACCAGGACCCGAGGGAGGACAGCCAAGGGGGCAGGCCCCCCCCCCCGGGAAGGGGGCCUUGGGGCAGAGUGGGUGGCCGCGGCAGAACCCUCCCCCGGGGUCUGCAGGCCCAGUGGGCAGCUGAUGGGGCCUCUCCUGCCUGGCCGGCGAGCUGUGCAAAGCCAGCGUCCACCGCAGCAUCGACCUGGAUCUGUAGCCAGGCCCACGCCUCUCUCUGGGGGGCACUGAGGCACAGGACAGAGGCCCUAGACCCCAGCCCUCAGGGGGCAGGUG